Molecule: long non-coding RNA, 1397 nt
Organism: Liolophura sinensis
Lineage: Eukaryota; Metazoa; Mollusca; Polyplacophora; Chitonida; Chitonidae
Exons: 6
Source: RefSeq, a predicted model, not a curated record
ACCGAGCAUUUAUAGUUUAAUAAUAAUAUAUUUUUAUUAAUGCAUGUACCUUAUAGCAUGAAAAACUCGUUUAAUUGCAUUUGGUUCGCCUUUAAACAUGUGAAUUUCAAACCUUGAAAUUCCGCAUGGGACUCAGCAUUCAUACAUAGUUUCGAGUACUCGGGAUUCUGGCAAUGACCAGUACGUCAUAAAUAAUAGAGAGUGUGCGCUCUCACCAAAUGUGCUGUGAAGUUCAGACUGUCAACUCUCCAGUCACAUUGAUGGACAUUUUCAAAAAUUCAGGCUUGUUAUCCCCUUCAUAUGGAGCCGACCUCUCUUAGCUGAUGUGUCUAACUACUCAGUGCUCACAAGUGGUGGAGCUGUGCAAACAUGUCCUUGGAGAGUUCAACAUUGACUGAUACAGAGGGUCAGCCAUCAAGCUGUAGAUGGUCGUGAGUUUUCCCCAAGCUUUGCCGGUUUAAUACUGGCUGCCAUCAUAUUGACAACUCCAUUUUCUGAAGUGGUGGAACAGUUUACACUGUCAUCAUUGUCUUCAUGUUAACAGCAGGAAGAUCCAUUUUGGGCUCCAUACAACAUGGAACUUCAAGCAAAAUGCUCGCCGUCAAUCCAAGACCUCAUACAGAAAUGCAUCAUACACCUUUCACAGACUUAAAUGUACUGUGUGCAUGAUAGUACGAGCUCAUCAAUGCAGAAAUGGCAAAGCUCUUGCACGCUUGUUAAAAUGUAGGCAGAAAGAGAUAAUAUUUAAAUUGUGUAAUAUGUAUUACAUAGAGGUUAAUGACGUAAAAUUUUACCCCCAAAAGUUUAUUUUUAGAGGAAAAUAAAUGUUGUCAGAUAUUACUUUUGGUGCGAUAACUUACGUAUUCCUUUAGGAUAUUGUCCUACCUUCCAAACAAUCCCCAAAACACCCUUCUAACAUUAAUAGAACUCUCAGAAUAAGGCACAAUUUUUGUGAUGGCCCAAAUUUUAGGUCACAGUCGAGUCUCUUGGCGUUCAGCAUGAAGGGGAUAGUGCAACGACUGGUUGACCCGUAUCAGUAUAAUGGCUCGGGCGGGGCGGCUUAUUUGUUUCAGGCUCAAGAAUAUUUCUCUUGUAUGACGUUGGCCAGUUGGCCAGCAUUAUGGUGGAAGGAAACCGGACAGAGCCCAGUGGAAAACCCACGACCAUCCGCGGGUUGCGAAUAAACUUUCCCAUGUAUGAUCACAGAUGAAGCCAACGUGAGCUGGACUUGAACUCACAGCUACUAAGGCUGCUGAGAGACUCCUGUGUCACUGUGCUGCACUAGCACACCCAUCACUACCAUACAGGACCCUGCUAACUUUUAAAGUUAUGUUGAAAUCAACAGGAACAAUGCAUGCAGUGAGAAAGAGAAACUCAAGACAGUGGUAGUCAUUAUG